AGACCCUUCCAGACCGCAGUUAGUAGUCCUCACAGAAAAGGGGUGAUAUCCGCUCCCCUCCUUGCCGGGUCCUGGGCCAACCACCUCACCUGUAUUAUCUUAUCCUUUUCACAACAAAGUCCAGGAACACAAUAUUUUCCAGCUUUGGAUGCUGAGGCUGGGGUGUCAAGUCACUCACCCAAAGCUGGGCUGCUGGAAGCAGCAAAGCUGGGAUUCUAGCCCAGGCUGACCCGUGGCCGCGGACAGGAAUGAUCUGCUAAUAAGCACUUGGAAGGUACUGAGCGCGGAGCCUGGCCUGGCUCCAGGAGCUGGUGCUGUGAACUCCAUCAGUUACCCCAUUUCACAGACCCGGGAGAAGGAAGUGGGGGUAGGGGGCAAGGAGCUCGGGGUGGGCGGAGGACUGAACUAGCACCACCACCAAGGGCUCCAGUUUGGGGAGCCACCAGGGCAGCCCAGUUUAUAACCCCAGCUCUGGGCGGGCUUGGGCAAGCCACUUAGACUCGCCCCAUCUCCCCUUCCUCAUCUGUAAGAUGAAAAUCUCCCCUGCUUCACAGAACGUUGUGAAAAUUAAAUCAGUGCAUACUGUUAAAGCACUCAGCACAGUGCCUGGCGCGCAGUAGGCAGUUCAUGAUAGCUUCUAUUAUUAUUUUUAUUACUAUUACUAUUUUAUUGUUCUGAACGGGGCUCCCAUUUGUCCCCUUGAAACGUCCUCUCACCUGGGGUCACCUGAGGACAAGGCUCUGCGGAAGGGAGGGGGGUGUCAGGUGAACAGCUUUGGGGCCGCAGGGAGAGAGAGGCUUGGUCUUCUUGGGGUCUCUGGAAGUCUGUCCCCAGGCUGCUCCCCGGGGUGGGGCAGUGGAGAAAGGAGCUGGGCCCAGAGGAGUUAACAGUUUGCAGGCCUCGGGCCCAGCCGCCCUGCCACGCUGCAGCUACAGCCCGGGCAAGGAUCUGAGCUGAGAAGCCAGGCCUGCUCCCUGAUGGGCAAAACAGCUGGCUGCCCGGGGAAAACAGCUGGCCUUGCCCCAGCUUCCUGAGGACGGAGGCAGAACCUCAGAGGAGGAUAGCUCCUCAUCUGGGGUCCUAGGAGACAAGGGCAUGGGCAAAAGGGAGAGAGAAGGUGGUCCGCUGGGGUGGGUGUAGGCGUUGGGUGGGACCCCUGGAGAUGAGGGGGUGUGGGCAGAUCCCUGGAGCAGAGGCCAACUUAUGCGAGGUCUCAGCGGGAUGUGCAGAGUGACUCCAGCUGGGCAAGGGGUCUCAGUCUCCCCUCAAAGAGGAGAGAUGAGGGGCAGGGGAGCCGAGGGGAGGUCAAGCCUGCACUCCGCUGGCCCUGGGUCCUCAUGGAACGGGGGCUUGGAACCUGAGCUAGGAGGGAACCCAGGGCGGGUCUCCUGGACUCCUAACCGCCGAGCUGCACCCAGGACCAGGAGCAAGGCAUGGGCUCCUCCUCUGGGCAGGAUGCUGGGCUCCCUUGACCACAAAGCAGGACAGGGGCCCAGAGAGCCCCCAACCCAGGAGACGUGAAGCUGGCAGCUGGCAUAUAAUCCACAAGACCUGGAGAAUGAGGCCAGAGUCCCCAGAGAACAGCAGCUUCAAACCUCAGCCUGCAUCACAAUCGCCCAGAAGCCUUGUUGGUUUAACCUCCGCUCCCACAGCGCAUCCGGUUCUCUGGGUAUGAAGUGGGGCCUAGGAAUUCGCAUUUCUAACUAUUUCCAGCUGGGAGAGAUUUAAGUCCUUUGGAAUGUCACAAGAAGCACCCAGAAGAGAGGGAGGCUGACGAUCCAAGAAGGGCAAGGGGAUGCCAUUUGGAGCUUGGGGACCUUUCCAUCAUGAGGAGGGGCCACUGGCUGCCAAAUCUUUGACUGGGACCUGCUGUAAGUUUGGGAGACACGCGGAAGACCAGGACUCCCAGGUUCCAUGCCCCUACAAGACUGCCUGGUAACCAGGCAAGUUCAUCCCUUGCUGGUUCCCCACCCUUCCCCUACCAGCAAAGAUAGGGUGCACAGGCUUAGCCCUCUUCCCUGACCCUGGGAAGAGCCUGAACGGAGACCCAAAGAUGAUCUAGAAAAGUAGACCCCCGCCCCAACCCCUCCACGCAGCCCAUGGGUUGGGGGUGAAUGGAAGGGGAGCCUGGCUUCUUCUCCAGUCCUGUCUUCUAGCCCCAGCAACUCUUUCCCGGCGUCAGGCUCCAUGCAGAGAGAAGCUUCGAGUGC
This is a long non-coding RNA of Neogale vison (American mink), 2210 nucleotides long. RefSeq lists it as uncharacterized. The transcript is spliced from 4 exons. The record is from RefSeq and is a predicted model, not a curated record. NCBI's taxonomy places the organism in Eukaryota, Metazoa, Chordata, Mammalia, Carnivora, Mustelidae.